UUAACCUGGUUUGGAACUGCCAGUAGUCAUAUGCUUGUUUCAAAGAUUAAGCCAUGCAUGUCUAAGCACAGGCCGAACUAAGGCUAAGCCGCGAAUGGCUCAUUAAAUCAGUUAUGGUUCAUUGGAUCCAACUCAACCUCUAAUUGGAUACCUGUGGUAAUCCUAGAGCUAAUACAUGACCCACGUCUCCGACCGCGAGGGAGGAGCGCUUUUAUUAGUUGAAAACCAACCGGGCCUCGGUCCGCUAAAGACACCUGUGGUGAAGCUGAAUAACUUUGUGCCGAGCGCACGGUCUCCGCACCGGCGCCGAUUCCUUCGAGUGUCUGCCUUAUCAGGCUGUCGAUUGUAGGUUAUGUGCCUACAAUGGCUAUAACGGGUGACGGGGAAUCAGGGUUCGAUUCCGGAGAGGGAGCCUGAGAAACGGCUACCACAUCCAAGGAAGGCAGCAGGCACGCAAAUUACCCACUCCCGGCUUGGGGAGGUAGUGACGAAAAAUAACGAUGCGGGACUCAUCCGAGGCCUCGCAAUUGGAAUGAGUACACUUUAAAUCCUUUAACGAGGACCCAUUGGAGGGCAAGUCUGGUGCCAGCAGCCGCGGUAAUUCCAGCUCCAAUAGCGUAUAUUAAAGUUGUUGCGGUUAAAAAGCUCGUAGUUGGAUUCGAGUUCCGGACGGACGGUUUCGCCGCACGGCGCUUACUGUCCCGCUCCGAACAUCCGCCACGCCGGUUCAUUCGCCUGGGGUGCUCUUCAUCGAGUGUCCCGAGCGGCCGGCAAGUUUACCUUGAACAAAUCAGAGUGCUCAGAGCAGGCUAAUUGAAUGGCCCGUAUGUUUCCUGCAUGGAAUGAUGGAAGAUGACCUCGGUUCCAUUUUGUUUGUUUUCGGAACCCGAGGUAAUGAUGAAUAGAGACGGACGGGGGCAUCCGUACUGCGACGUGAGAGGUGAAAUUCUUGGAAUGUCGCAAGACGAACGACAGCGAAAGCAUUUGCCAAGUAUGUCUUCGUUAAUCAAGAACGAAAGUUAGAGGUUCGAAGGCGAUCAGAUACCGCCCCUAGUUCUAACCAUAAACGAUGCUGACCAGCGAUCCGCCGGCGUUAUUCCCAUGACGCGGCGGGAAGCUACUCCGGGAAACCAAAGUCUUUGAGUUCCGGGGGUAGUAUGGUUGCAAAACUGAAACUUAAAGGAAUUGACGGAAGGGCACCACCAGGAGUGGAGCCUGCGGCUUAAUUUGACUCAACACGGGGAACCUCACCAGGCCCGGACACCGGAAGGAUUGACAGAUUGAGAGCUCUUUCUCGAUUCGGUGGGUGGUGGUGCAUGGCCGUUCUUAGUUGGUGGAGCGAUUUGUCUGGUUAAUUCCGAUAACGAACGAGACUCUGGCCUACUAACUAGUCGACGGGUCUCCAGCAAUUGGUGCCCAGUUCGCAACAUCUUCUUAGAGGGAUAAGCGGCAAUUCUAGCCGCACGAGAUUGAGCAAUAACAGGUCUGUGAUGCCCUUAGAUGUCCUGGGCCGCACGCGCGCUACACUGAAGGGGGCAGCGGGUCUCCCUCUCCGAGAGGAGCGGGUAACCGCUUGAAAACCUUUCAUGAUAGGGACUGGGGCUUGUAAUUGUUUCCCAUGAACGAGGAAUUCCCAGUAAGCGCAAGUCAUCAGCUUGCGCUGAUUAAGUCCCUGCCCUUUGUACACACCGCCCGUCGCUACUACCGAUUGAAUGAUUUAGUGAGGCCUUCGGACUGGCGCUCCUGGAACGACCCCAUCCCCGACCGGGGACCCGGGGUCUCCUCGAGUCGACGGAAAGAUGUCCAAACUUGAUCAUUUAGAGGAAGUAAAAGUCGUAACAAGGUUUCCGUAGGUGAACCUGCGGGGAAAAGGAUCAA
RNAcentral lists this ribosomal RNA (1878 nucleotides) under Procaris mexicana. RNAcentral describes it as "SSU rRNA". It matches the Rfam family "Eukaryotic small subunit ribosomal RNA". Lineage: Eukaryota; Metazoa; Arthropoda; Malacostraca; Decapoda; Procarididae. The record is from RNAcentral.